GAGGGCAUAGCUCAGUGGUAGAGUGCAUGCUUAGCAUGCACGAGGUCCUAGGUUCAAUCCCCAGUCCCUCCA
RNAcentral lists this transfer RNA (72 nucleotides) under Camelus bactrianus (Bactrian camel). It matches the Rfam family "tRNA". Rfam says of the family: Transfer RNA (tRNA) molecules are approximately 80 nucleotides in length. Their secondary structure includes four short double-helical elements and three loops (D, anti-codon, and T loops). RNAcentral also lists the same sequence under 2 other names. The record is from Rfam by way of RNAcentral. Lineage: Eukaryota; Metazoa; Chordata; Mammalia; Artiodactyla; Camelidae.